Molecule: ribosomal RNA, 889 nt
Filed under: bacterium 07-345
Lineage: Bacteria
Description: bacterial SSU rRNA
Rfam family: Bacterial small subunit ribosomal RNA
Source: RNAcentral
GUGCCAGCAGCCGCGGUAAUACGUAGGUGGCAAGCGUUGUCCGGAUUUACUGGGCGUAAAGGGCAGGCAGGCGGAUCGUUAAGUAGAAAGUGAAAGGUCGGAGCUCAACUCCAACAUUGCUUUCUAUACUGGCGGUCUUGAGUCCCGGAGGGGAGAGCGGAACGACACGUGUAGCRGUGAAAUGCGUUGAUAUGUGUCGGAACACCAAUGGCGAAGGCAGCUCUCUGGACGGGUACUGACGCUCAUCUGCGAAAGCCGAGGUAGCGAACAGGAUUAGAUACCCUGGUAGUCUCGGCCCUAAACGAUGAUCACUAGGUGUCGGGGGGUUUCCCUCGGUGCCGCAGCUAACGCAUUAAGUGAUCCGCCUGGGGACUACGGCCGCAAGGUUGAAACUCAAAGGAAUUGGCGGGGGCCCGCACAAGCGGUGGAGCAUAUGGCUUAAUUCGAUGCAACGCGAAGAACCUUACCCAGGCUUGACAUGUACCUGCAAGCUCCCCAAAAGGAGCCGCUUUCGAAGGUGGUACACAGGUGGUGCAUGGCUGUCGUCRGCUCGUGUUGUGAAAUGUUGGGUUAAGUCCCGCAACGAGCGCAACCCUCAUGUUAUGUUGCCAGCGAGUAAUGUCGGGAACUCGUAACAAACUGCCUAUGUAAAUAGGAGGAAGGUGGGGAUGACGUCAAGUCAUCAUGCCCCUUACGCCUGGGGCUGCACAUAUGCUACAAUGGAUGCUACAAACGGUCGCGAACCCGCGAGGGCGAGCUAAUCUGAAAAAAGCAUYCUCAGUUCGGAUUGGAGUCUGCAACUCGACUCCAUGAAGCCCGGAAUCGCUAGUAACCGCAGUCAGCAUUACUGCGGUGAAUACGUUCCCGGGCCUUGCACACACCGCCCGUC